GGUUAAGUUAGAAAGGGCGCACGGUGGAUGCCUUGACACUAGGAGUCGAUGAAGGACGGGACUAACGCCGAUAUGCUUCGGGGAGCUGUAAGUAAGCUUUGAUCCGAAGAUUUCCGAAUGGGGAAACCCACCAUACGUAAUGGUAUGUUAUCCUUAUCUGAAUACAUAGGGUAAGGAAGACAGACCCAGGGAACUGAAACAUCUAAGUACCUGGAGGAAGAGAAAGCAAAUGCGAUUUCCUGAGUAGCGGCGAGCGAAACGGAACAUAGCCCAAACCAAGAGGCUUGCCUCUUGGGGUUGUAGGACAUUCUAUACGGAGUUACAAAGGAACGAGGUAGACGAAGCGACCUGGAAAGGUCCGUCGUAGAGGGUAACAACCCCGUAGUCGAAACUUCGUUCUCUCUUGAAUGUAUCCUGAGUACGGCGGAACACGUGAAAUUCCGUCGGAAUCUGGGAGGACCAUCUCCCAAGGCUAAAUACUCCCUAGUGAUCGAUAGUGAACCAGUACCGUGAGGGAAAGGUGAAAAGCACCCCGGAAGGGGAGUGAAAGAGAUCCUGAAACCGUGUGCCUACAAAUAGUCAGAGCCCGUUAACGGGUGAUGGCGUGCCUUUUGUAGAAUGAACCGGCGAGUUACGAUCCCGUGCGAGGUUAAGCUGAAGAGGCGGAGCCGCAGCGAAAGCGAGUCUGAAUAGGGCGUUUAGUACGUGGUCGUAGACCCGAAACCAGGUGAUCUACCCAUGUCCAGGGUGAAGUUCAGGUAACACUGAAUGGAGGCCCGAACCCACGCACGUUGAAAAGUGCGGGGAUGAGGUGUGGGUAGCGGAGAAAUUCCAAUCGAACCUGGAGAUAGCUGGUUCUCCCCGAAAUAGCUUUAGGGCUAGCCUUAAGUGUAAGAGUCUUGGAGGUAGAGCACUGAUUGGACUAGGGGUCCUCAUCGGAUUACCGAAUUCAGUCAAACUCCGAAUGCCAAUGACUUAUCCUUAGGAGUCAGACUGCGAGUGAUAAGAUCCGUAGUCAAAAGGGAAACAGCCCAGACCGCCAGCUAAGGUCCCAAAGUGUGUAUUAAGUGGAAAAGGAUGUGGAGUUGCUUAGACAACUAGGAUGUUGGCUUAGAAGCAGCCACCAUUUAAAGAGUGCGUAAUAGCUCACUAGUCGAGUGACUCUGCGCCGAAAAUGUACCGGGGCUAAAUACACCACCGAAGCUGCGGAUUGAUACCGAAUGGUAUCAGUGGUAGGGGAGCGUUCUAAGGACAGUGAAGUCAGACCGUAAGGACUGGUGGAGUGCUUAGAAGUGAGAAUGCCGGUAUGAGUAGCGAAAGACGGGUGAGAAUCCCGUCCACCGAAUGCCUAAGGUUUCCUGAGGAAGGCUCGUCCGCUCAGGGUUAGUCAGGACCUAAGCCGAGGCCGACAGGCGUAGGCGAUGGACAACAGGUUGAUAUUCCUGUACCACCUCUUUAUCGUUUGAGCAAUGGAGGGACGCAGAAGGAUAGAAGAAGCGUGCGAUUGGUUGUGCACGUCCAAGCAGUUAGGCUGAUAAGUAGGCAAAUCCGCUUAUCGUGAAGGCUGAGCUGUGAUGGGGAAGCUCCUUAUGGAGCGAAGUCUUUGAUUCCCCGCUGCCAAGAAAAGCUUCUAGCGAGAUAAAAGGUGCCUGUACCGCAAACCGACACAGGUAGGCGAGGAGAGAAUCCUAAGGUGUGCGAGAGAACUCUGGUUAAGGAACUCGGCAAAAUGACCCCGUAACUUCGGGAGAAGGGGUGCUUUCUUAACGGAAAGCCGCAGUGAAUAGGCCCAAGCGACUGUUUAGCAAAAACACAGCUCUCUGCGAAGCCGUAAGGCGAAGUAUAGGGGGUGACACCUGCCCGGUGCUGGAAGGUUAAGGAGAGGGGUUAGCGUAAGCGAAGCUCUGAACUGAAGCCCCAGUAAACGGCGGCCGUAACUAUAACGGUCCUAAGGUAGCGAAAUUCCUUGUCGGGUAAGUUCCGACCCGCACGAAAGGUGUAACGAUUUGGGCACUGUCUCAACCAGAGACUCGGUGAAAUUAUAGUACCUGUGAAGAUGCAGGUUACCCGCGACAGGACGGAAAGACCCCGUGGAGCUUUACUGUAGCCUGAUAUUGAAUUUUGGUACAGUUUGUACAGGAUAGGCGGGAGCCAUUGAAACCGGAGCGCUAGCUUCGGUGGAGGCGCUGGUGGGAUACCGCCCUGACUGUAUUGAAAUUCUAACCUACGGGUCUUAUCGACCCGGGAGACAGUGUCAGGUGGGCAGUUUGACUGGGGCGGUCGCCUCCUAAAGUGUAACGGAGGCGCCCAAAGGUUCCCUCAGAAUGGUUGGAAAUCAUUCGUAGAGUGCAAAGGCAUAAGGGAGCUUGACUGCGAGACCUACAAGUCGAGCAGGGACGAAAGUCGGGCUUAGUGAUCCGGUGGUUCCGCAUGGAAGGGCCAUCGCUCAACGGAUAAAAGCUACCCCGGGGAUAACAGGCUUAUCUCCCCCAAGAGUCCACAUCGACGGGGAGGUUUGGCACCUCGAUGUCGGCUCAUCGCAUCCUGGGGCUGUAGUCGGUCCCAAGGGUUGGGCUGUUCGCCCAUUAAAGCGGUACGCGAGCUGGGUUCAGAACGUCGUGAGACAGUUCGGUCCCUAUCCGUCGUGGGCGUAGGAAAUUUGAGAGGAGCUGUCCUUAGUACGAGAGGACCGGGAUGGACGCACCGCUGGUGUACCAGUUGUUCUGCCAAGGGCAUAGCUGGGUAGCUAUGUGCGGAAGGGAUAAGUGCUGAAAGCAUCUAAGCAUGAAGCCCCCCUCAAGAUGAGAUUUCCCAUAGCGUAAGCUAGUAAGAUCCCUGAAAGAUGAUCAGGUUGAUAGGUUCGAGGUGGAAGCAUGGUGACAUGUGGAGCUGACGAAUACUAAUAGAUCGAGGACUUAACCAUAUA
RNAcentral lists this ribosomal RNA (2926 nucleotides) under Bacillus thuringiensis serovar kurstaki str. HD-1. RNAcentral's name for it is "bacterial LSU rRNA". It matches the Rfam family "Bacterial large subunit ribosomal RNA". Lineage: Bacteria; Bacillati; Bacillota; Bacilli; Caryophanales; Bacillaceae. The record is from RNAcentral.